UUCUGCCCUCGAAAUGAGAAAAUGGAUGUCGUACGAUUUUUGAUGUUGUAAUUAAACACUAAUUUAAAACAUCGAUGAACUCGAAUUUUACCUAUCAUUCAACAUGCCGAAGAGGAGCCAUACCAUAGAGCAAGCAUACGCCUAGUAACCAUAACGUACGUCGAUAACGAUGGAAGAAGUCACCUCCGACUCAUCGUACUCCCAGCCAUGAUCGCACGGGAUUUCAGACCAGGAAGCGUUGGGUGUAAGAUACUCAGCCAUUAGCACCGCCGGAGUUUCCCAUUCGACGUUGUAACGGGUGCAACGGCUGUACGUUUCAUUGUCCCCCUGCCGGGUGACCGUUUAUCAUCGGUACAUGGAAAAAAGGAAAGGAAACAGUUCGCUGUAACGAAAGAGAUGAAUCCCAUUCAACGUUACGAGUAGGGUUUCUGUUGCUGUCGCACCUGAUUAGGGAUGGCAAGAUGCCGUCUCUGAAGAGGAUCGAGUCCCUCUAGUCCAGGUACUUUACACCAGUGCAGAGGAGUUUCAGACAUGAAGAGUUGAUUGAAAGCGCAAAAUCCGCACGGCAAACAUGCUGGUAGGCAAACGAACCAUAGAAGUAGCCGUUGGUAGCGACCAAACUCCCCGACGAUUGGCAACAGAUCGUCAAGGUCGAAUCCAUCCUGUGGGAAAGUUUGUGAGAGAGUCGGAGCAAUUACGACUUACGAGUGUAAUGAUGCCAGGCAAUCGGGCCACCAGAGCGAAUUAAAGUGGUUAAACAUUUUAAAAUGGUAUUUUGGCUAAGAUUACGACUUAUUGAGAAAGAUUAUGGGCGACUUGCAAGAUUCUGUAGGAUACUAGGAAAAUCUGUUAAUGAAAAGUAAUGAUUCUAACGUGAUCUUUACCAUUUACCAACUUGACAUAAGGAACGGCUGAGCAUUGAAAACUGGCCUACAACAAAUUCAGGGACAUUUUGGCACGUAGUUUAUAUUACAUAAGCCUACUAGUUUUACCAAACUAUUUCUUCACACUAGACCACGGGAUGGAGACAAGAGAGAAAAAAUUUCUGCCCGAAUAAACUGAGUGAGAUUUAGAUGCAUACUCACGUCGUCGUCAGCGACCUGAUGUACUUGCCUGUCCUCUGGCCCCGAGUUAUCCUGAACAUUCAUACUGGCAAUGAUGGGGGACUGGUCUCAGGCUACUGAAACCUCAAGGAAGCCUUAGAAAAAGGUCAGGUAACAUGUAUCAAGCCUAGUUCUGUCUCAUACGUGUGACGUACGGGGUAAUGCUAACGAAAACGGUGAUUGUGGCAGCCACAAAUUGUGGAAUUGAGUGAAAAGAUGUCCAAGAGUUUCAGGAAAUAGUGGAACGGUGUCAAACGGCAAUAGGGUGGCGUGCUAAACGAAUGGCAACGAUGACGUAUAAAAAAAUAUCCCACCCUGGGGUGGUUCUUGUAUAAUUGAAUUAGGCUAGAGAUGCUUAAGAGAGAUUAAGGGCACUGCUGACACACGGCAUUAGAGAGGAUUGAUUUCAUGCUCGGCCGUGUAGGCAUAAAUUCGUUCAACCACUCGAUUAUACGCAUUUACAACAUAAUAGCGUACGAUAAAUGGAUUGGCUACCACAAAAUUUAAUCCUAAUUUACCGCACGCAAUUCCUCGUACUAAACUUCUGGGGCAGUGGGCAACCACCCCACACGUAUGGCUGGUUUCCUUCUAUUCAAAAUACUAAUUACAAUAUAAUUCACCCUACAAAAUGCAGUUUGCAUUCAAGGACAGCUCGUCAAGCCGCCAGACUGAAAUCGAUUCGUUGAACAGCAUGGCGAGGGAAUUUUAGAGCUUCAUAUGCAGAUAUUUUACAGGCGAUUCACAAGUCUUAUCAGCAUUAAGAUGCUACAAAAAAGGCUACGGCCUAAACUCUUCAAUAUUCAUGGUUUCUGACGAAUUUGAUUUCAUCCUGGCAUUGCCAAGUUUUUCUACUUCUAGAAAUCUCAAAGGACCUCUGAGUGAUUGUAGCAUUUCAUAUUAUUGAAUGCAAAACUUUUAUUCGUUCUUUCGUAUCAUUUACACCUGCCACGCCACCAUUGAUGCAAUGUAAUUCAUUCAUUUAUUACUCUCACUAUGAAAUUCUUUCAGGCUGCACCCGUGCACAUCAUACAAACUGGAAAUAAUGAUUUAUUCGGAUAAUGUUAGCAAUCUACAGUGAAGUUAUCAAGCUACCUAAACUUGCUUUUGACCAUCAAUACACAUUUUUCAAAUCCUGAAUGAAUACUCACAAAAAAAAAACCUCGAUAGAGAUUUAAUAUACAUAAAAGUGAGACUAUCGGAGCCAAAUUAUCUGCCUUGGCCCGCCAGUUCCAUGGUUUUUUACAUUCGAUCAGUACGCAUACAGUCGUACACUUAAUUGCAGAUGGUACAAAAGUUUACAUCAAUUCAAAACUGUAGAUAUAGCCGUCGAUUGGCAGAAGGCAGAGAAUGCAAAGGGAAAUUUUUUCAUAUCAGUGACUGCAAGGUGAGAACUCUUCUACCUAUAAGUGGUAAUAGUGCUAAAUAGUUGGAUAUAGAUGCAUCGAAAAUUCGAUAGAUGAGACGCCAAUUUCGUAGUGAAAAUGACGCUAUACCUGAAUCAGUUACAUAUUUUUUCUAUGAAUCCAUAUGGGAGACACGUACUGUUCUUCGAUUAUUCACUUGGUGUAUUUUUUCUCUUUUUUUUUGUCUUUAACCCAAUUUAGCAACUGAAAUCACUGAUGAAAAAAGAAACAACUACCCCAGAGUGCCAAAUAUCGCUUUACGACGUAGAAAAGUGCCAUACGAAAUUCAAUUUUAAUAAUAGUAUUGAUAAAGGUAUUGUUGGAGUACACGUGGAAAUAAUUGGUUACUUUCAUAAUCACAGAUGUUUCUGAACGGUUCAAACGAAGACUCAAAUGAUCCAAUAAUAACAAUUGUGAUUUAGGUUUAUUUUUAGUAUGUGACAAUUAAAAACAACACAAAUAUUUCACGACAAGGGCCAAGUUUGCAGAGUCUAUAACAUCAACAAAUGUUACAUCUACUCGUACAGAGUUUGGCAGGUUUCCUGAGCAAUAUUUUGUCUAACGUUAUAUAUUCAUUCUUUUGAAUAAAUAUCAACUACAGUGGGUAAGAGCUACUACAAAGAGAAAACAGGAAGAGGGAUAAAAAAAAAGAUAUAAUAGAUA
Long non-coding RNA from Diprion similis, 3169 nucleotides. RefSeq lists it as uncharacterized. The transcript has 4 exons. NCBI's taxonomy places the organism in Eukaryota, Metazoa, Arthropoda, Insecta, Hymenoptera, Diprionidae. The record is from RefSeq and is a predicted model, not a curated record.